AGUUUUGAGCUAAAUAUAUUUAUAAUAUUAGUUAUUUAUGAAGGUGUUGUAAAACUUUAUUUAAAAUUAUAUUUAGGGGUGAUCGGCCUUUCAAAAACUAAGAUAUCUUGAAUCUAAUUAAAAGUAUGUAGUACAAUUAACACAAUAUUAAGUGAUUAGGUUUAUAGAAUUAUUAACCUAUAAGAUUUUAUUUACUAUAAUUUAAUAAUUAAGUAUAUAAAUAUAUUAAUAUACAUAUAUUAUAGUUUAUAAAAGAGUGAUUAGAUUGAAUUAAGUUCAUAUUUCUUAUAAUAAUGUUAAUAUUAGUAUUAAGAUUAUAUUUAUAUGAUGAACUCGGCAAAAAUACUUCUCAACUGUUUAUCAAAAACAUAACUAUGUGAUUGAAUACAUAGCGGUUUCUGCUCAA
This 406-nucleotide ribosomal RNA is filed under the name Mandarina polita. RNAcentral describes it as "partial 16S ribosomal RNA". Lineage: Eukaryota; Metazoa; Mollusca; Gastropoda; Stylommatophora; Camaenidae. The record is from RNAcentral.